CAUACAAUAAUAAUUAACGUGAAGUCGUAUCUUCUGUAUAUUUCGUUUAGCUAUACAAAUUGUAAUUAUCGCGCUGUAUUAGGUGAUGCUGUGGUUGAUGGUGGUAUUGGUGUUGGCACGAUACGAAGAUAUACGAAGAUCGGACAGAUUCGUUCGCAAAAGGAAUAAUUAAAGUGCAUUAAGUGCAACAAUUGGAACAGUCAUUGUUGCACAAAAAAGCAAGUAGGGGAAGGAUAGAGAGAAGGAUGAAAGAUCGCUAUGAGGUAGAGAAAAAGAGAGAGAAGAAGAGAGAGAGAGAGAGAGAGAGAGAGAGAGAGAGAGAGAGAGAUAGAAAUUGACAAGAAGAGAACAUUCAAAGAAAUAGCAGGACAAGUUUUAAUUUAGUACGAUCGCCGAUAAAUCCAAGCUGACGGCCUUCCAAGCUUGAAAUGGAUGGUUGAGAAAGAAAAGGGUAAAUAAGAGGGGCUCUAGGGAAAAGGAGGAGGAGUAGGAGGAGAAAGAGGAGGAGCGAAGAAAAUCGACAGAUCCUUCGGUGUUUCCCGUGGGACGACUAGCCGUAUAGUAACACGUAAAUGAAUCCUUCACGGUAGAAAAAUCAUGGACCUUCGAAGAUUCGGCUUCUUGAAAGAAACUUUUUCAAGCGGAAAGUAAUAAGAUGGAGUUUUGCUAUCGGGUUAAUAAGAGGGUAAAAUAGUUAAUUAAAGUGAAUAUAUUGAAAAUUAUUGCAUGUAAAUAUUGU
Vespa mandarinia (Asian giant hornet) is the source of this 739-nucleotide long non-coding RNA. NCBI's taxonomy places the organism in Eukaryota, Metazoa, Arthropoda, Insecta, Hymenoptera, Vespidae. The record is from RefSeq and is a predicted model, not a curated record.